RNAcentral lists this unclassified non-coding RNA (741 nucleotides) under uncultured bacterium. RNAcentral describes it as "partial contains 16S ribosomal RNA, 16S-23S ribosomal RNA intergenic spacer, and 23S ribosomal RNA". The stretch from base 627 to 741 matches the Rfam family "Bacterial large subunit ribosomal RNA", at positions 1 to 113 of the family's 2925-position model. The record is from RNAcentral.
GCGGCUGGAUCCCCUCCUUUCUAGGGAGUAUUCCGGUAUCGUUUGCUUGAAAAGCAAUAUGCCGGCAAUCCCAGGUAAAUCGCCCUUUAUGAGGGUGUUAUGAGUAAAAUAGCUGUUUACUCGCAAAAUUCCUGUCACUCUUUAGUUGUUAAGGUUGAUACGGGCCUGUAGCUCAGUCGGUUAGAGCAUCCCUCUGAUAAGGGGAAGGUCAGUAGUUCGAGUCUACUCAGGCCCAUUGUGAGCGGGGAUGUAGCUCAGCUGGGAGAGCGCCUCCCUUGCACGGAGGAGGUCAGGGGUUCGAGUCCCCUCAUCUCCACAGAUGUGUAUUUGACAACUAAGUUGAGCUGUAGUAAAAUGUAGCCUUACUUGCCAAUCUAACUGCAGAACUGAAUUAAUGCAAAAUUCUAUUUCGUCAGAAAUAACAUAGCCACAAAAAAGGCAUGUCAGCGGGAGAUUGUAAAAGAUCCGGCGGUGUGCCGGAUCUUUUUGUGUCUUUGGUUUGAAUUGUUUUCUGAUGGGUAACCGUUUUUUACAAGUGGUUAGCCUUCAGCAAACAAUCAGGUUUGCUGGUAAUACUUUAACAACUGAAUAGAACGGGUAGUUCAAUGAACCGAAGAAGCAUGAUUGAUUAAGCUACUAAGGGUGCACGGGGGAUGCCUUGGCGUCAAGAGCCGAUGAAGGACGUGGUUGACUGCGAUAAGCUCCGGUAAGCCGUCAGCAGGCGUUAUUAACCGGAGAUUU